UUUUCUUUCAACCUCACUAGUCUUUUUUUAAAACCCUCACAUUUGCUCUUGGCUUUUUUCCUCCCCUCCUCUCUAUUCAAUGACCUAUAAUCAAUAUGCUCUUUAAUUUAUACGUUACUUAAUUUUCUCUUCAGGUCAUUUCUUCUCCCUCAAACCUCCUUUCAACACCAAACCCUUCACCUCCCAAUCCUUUGAAAUCACGAGAAUUAAUUAAUCGAAAAUGCAACAUUUAAUUAUAUGCACCAUAUUUCACCAAUGAAUAGACUUUGUAACUCCAAUCCACUCUCCACCUCCAUUAAUCCCCCGCCGCCUUCUCUUUUGCAUGGCCGCUUAUUUUCCAUGCAAAAAAGAAUAUCAUCAUCUAAUUUCCCACUCCGCACUCAUCUAGCUCUUUCUCUCUCAUUGUGUUAAUGAAGAUGAUGAGGACGAUGAAGAAGAAGAAGAAAAAAAAAAAGAGCAUGCAAAGAACGUUGUCUUCUUCGAGAAGUAUCGUCCCGCAAAGCCGAACCGUGGCCUAUAUAAGUGCCUGCUGGGUUGAUUCAACUGCGUUGAAACUAGCUUUUUUUUAUCUUUCACAACGGAAUGUUCAAAAGGCACAUAAUAUGAUAAAAUUGUAUGUCUCUUACUGUAUUUCGAUGAUUUUUAAAAAAUUAUAUAAACUUCUAACGAUAAUUUUAUUUUUUUAGUAGUUGAAUUUAGUCAUGCAAAUUGACUGUGCUUAACAUGGCAUAGCUUCCUAUACAUCAAUAAGCUGUAAAUAUAAAUUUUACUAAAAUUUUAAAAUUUUGUUUCUAUUAUCUAUUCGCUGCAUCGCGGGUCUCUACACUAUUAAUUAUUAAAACGAAAUAUUUACCUACAGUUAUUCCGUAA
Molecule: long non-coding RNA, 870 nt
Filed under: Ananas comosus (pineapple)
Lineage: Eukaryota; Viridiplantae; Streptophyta; Magnoliopsida; Poales; Bromeliaceae
Description: long non-coding RNA (ACOM_LNC022388)
Source: RNAcentral